ACUAAAUAGAUACCCCGGUAGUCCACGCCGUAAACGAUGAGUGCUAGGUGUCACGGGCUUUGACCCUCGUGGUGCCGAAAAGCUAAACGCGUUAAGCACUCCGCCUGGGGAGUACGGUCGCAAGACUAAAACUCAAAGAAAUUGACGGGGGCCCGGCACAAGCGGUGGAGCAUGUUGUUUAAUUCGACGCAACGCGAAGAACCUUACCUGGGCUAGAAAGUACAGGAAGCCGGUCGAAAGGUCGAUGUGCCCUUCGGGGUAACCGUGUGGUUUAGGUUGCUGCAUGGCUGUCGUCAGCUCGUGUCGUGAGAUGUUGGGUUAAGUCCCGCAACGAGCGCAACCCUGUUGUUAGUUUGCAGCAUUAAGUUGGGCACUCUAACAAGACUGCCGACCGUUUAAGUCGGAGGAAGGUGGGGAUGACGUCAAGUCAUCAUGG
RNAcentral lists this ribosomal RNA (436 nucleotides) under uncultured bacterium. RNAcentral's name for it is "bacterial SSU rRNA". It matches the Rfam family "Bacterial small subunit ribosomal RNA", at positions 772 to 1198 of the family's 1533-position model. The record is from RNAcentral.